GACGAACGCUGGCGGCGUGCUUAACACAUGCAAGUCGAGCGGAAAGGCCCUGCUUUUGUGGGGUGCUCGAGUGGCGAACGGGUGAGUAACACGUGAGUAACCUGCCCUUGACUUUGGGAUAACUUCAGGAAACUGGGGCUAAUACCGGAUAGGAGCUCCUGCUGCAUGGUGGGGGUUGGAAAGUUUCGGCGGUUGGGGAUGGACUCGCGGCUUAUCAGCUUGUUGGUGGGGUAGUGGCUUACCAAGGCUUUGACGGGUAGCCGGCCUGAGAGGGUGACCGGCCACAUUGGGACUGAGAUACGGCCCAGACUCCUACGGGAGGCAGCGGUGGGGAAUAUUGCACAAUGGGCGGAAGCCUGAUGCAGCAACGCCGCGUGCGGGAUGACGGCCUUCGGGUUGUAAACCGCUUUCGCCUGUGACGAAGCGUGAGUGACGGUAAUGGGUAAAGAAGCACCGGCUAACUACGUG
This 468-nucleotide ribosomal RNA is filed under the name uncultured bacterium. RNAcentral describes it as "partial 16S ribosomal RNA". It matches the Rfam family "Bacterial small subunit ribosomal RNA", at positions 28 to 507 of the family's 1533-position model. The record is from RNAcentral.